RNAcentral lists this ribosomal RNA (259 nucleotides) under uncultured bacterium. RNAcentral's name for it is "partial 16S ribosomal RNA". It matches the Rfam family "Bacterial small subunit ribosomal RNA", at positions 524 to 776 of the family's 1533-position model. The record is from RNAcentral.
UACGUAGGGUGCGAGCGUUGUCCGGAAUUAUUGGGCGUAAAGAGCUUGUAGGCGGUUUGUCGCGUCUGCUGUGAAAAUCCGGGGCUCAACCCCGGACUUGCAGUGGGUACGGGCAGGGCUAGAGUGUGGUAGGGGGAGACUGGAAUUCCUGGUGUAGGCGGUGAAAUGCGCCAGAUAUCAGGAGGAACACCGGUGGCGAAGGCGGGUCACUGGGGCAACAACUGACGCUGAGGAGCGAAAGCUGGGGGAGCAAAACAGG